CGACCAGAGUGGGAGAGCCGCUCACCCCUGGCCUGGCCCCUACGGAGCGUGCUUUUUAUUGGUUACCAAGUGCCGGAAGAAGCGCACCAAAGAAUCAAAAUAUUCUUCAUUAACCAGAUCGACCAAUAUAGCAGCAGCCAGCAGGCACUGAACGAGGGGACGUUUGCUUUAAAUCAAAAUGGCUGAGAUGGCCAGUUCUGCCAUUGUUGGGGAGGUAGUCAAUCGAAUAUUUUCCGGUAUCAU
Molecule: long non-coding RNA, 243 nt
Organism: Sorghum bicolor (sorghum)
Lineage: Eukaryota; Viridiplantae; Streptophyta; Magnoliopsida; Poales; Poaceae
Exons: 3
Source: RefSeq, a predicted model, not a curated record